GACGAACGCUGGCGGCGUGCUUAACACAUGCAAGUCGAGCGGAGCGGCGAACGGGUGAGUAACGCGUGAGUAACUGCCCCCCUCUCUGGGAUAACAGUUGGAAACGGCUGCUAAUACCGGAUAGUGGGGGAUGACUCUCGUCCUAUCCGCUUGUUGGUGGGGUAGUGGCCUACCAAGGCGACGACGGGUAGCCGGCCUGAGUGGGCGACCGGCCACAUUGCGUGGAUGUACGGCCCGAACUCCUACGGGCGGCAGUAGUGGGGAAUAUUGCCCAAGGGGGGAAACCCUGAUGCAGCACCGCCGCGUGCGGGAUGACGGCCUUCGUGUUGUAAGCCGCUUUCAGCCAUGACGCGGUAGUGGCAGAAGAAGCACCGGCUAUCUACGUGCCAGCAGCCGCGGUAAUUC
RNAcentral lists this ribosomal RNA (405 nucleotides) under uncultured bacterium. Its description in RNAcentral is "partial 16S ribosomal RNA". It matches the Rfam family "Bacterial small subunit ribosomal RNA", at positions 28 to 526 of the family's 1533-position model. The record is from RNAcentral.